Molecule: long non-coding RNA, 328 nt
Organism: Oncorhynchus tshawytscha (Chinook salmon)
Lineage: Eukaryota; Metazoa; Chordata; Actinopteri; Salmoniformes; Salmonidae
Source: Ensembl
GGGGACAGGUGUGUGUAACGAAGGGGUCAGGUGUGUGUAACGAAGGGGACAGGUGUGCGUAACGAAGGGGACAGGUAACGUAACAAAGGGGACAGGUAAGUGUAACGAAGGGGACAGGUGUACGUAACGAAGGGGACAGGUGUGCGUAACGAAGGGGACAGGUGUGUGUAACGAAGGGGUCAGGUGUAUGUAACGAAGGGGACAGGUGUGUGUAACGAAGGGGACAGGUGUGCGUAAUGAAGGGGACAGGUGUAUAUAACGAAGGGGACAGGUGUUUGUAAUGAAGAGGACAGGUGUCCGUAACGAAGGGGACAGGUGUGCGUAAUGA